RNAcentral lists this long non-coding RNA (636 nucleotides) under Toxoplasma gondii VEG. Lineage: Eukaryota; Apicomplexa; Conoidasida; Eucoccidiorida; Sarcocystidae. The record is from RNAcentral.
UGGGUAGUACGAAAAGCAAGUCUUCGUGCUGCGUAUGGGUCCUCGCCACUGCAAGCCGGAGCAUUUUCGGCUGCAGGUAGAGGCAUCGGUUUCACGUGAAUAAUUCUUUCCUCGUCUGCUGAUUUCUGUGUGGGUACUUCUUUCGACAUCAGCUGAUUCAGAAAUGCAAUUGGAUAAAGAGCCCUUCAGCUUCUGUGUUUCCGGCGACUAUUAUUUGCGAGUGUGCUAGGCACCAGGCAGCGUAAGUAUCUGGGGCUUUUUUCGCGUCUGUGUGACUCCCUCGUUUUUCCCCUUCCGUGCCUUUCUCUUGAUAAUAUUGUUGAUCUCCUGUUACCACGAUGGUUCGGUAAUAAGCCUCGAAGGCUCGAUGGAUGCAGAAACGUAUACGUGACUGGUGUCGCCAUCGAUCGACUGAGUUGCUCGGGUCAAACAGAACAAGAACCCUAGCUCAUGAAUGCUUUUGAAACGGAUGUGUUUUUCCUUUAUCCUGUCGAGCACGAAGUGUGUGAGACAGGUCAGGUCUUUCAAGAGCCAGACUCUGUACGGCAUCGGCUAACGCCUUGCAAAUCUCAAUGGCUGCUCCGGAUCACCAGUGGUAGGAAUUUUUGACGAGUAGAGUAGGAGCUUUUUAUUCUG